Long non-coding RNA from Zingiber officinale, 1409 nucleotides. RefSeq lists it as uncharacterized. The transcript is spliced from 2 exons. NCBI's taxonomy places the organism in Eukaryota, Viridiplantae, Streptophyta, Magnoliopsida, Zingiberales, Zingiberaceae. The record is from RefSeq and is a predicted model, not a curated record.
GAGAGAAUCAGACUUCUUCAUAAAAAUCCAAGUUUAAGUCACAUGAACAUCUUGACUGAAUGCCGCAAAGUAGUUGAUCUGUUUGACAAUUGAAGCUUAUCUCUUUUUUUUUUCGGUAUAAAGAACUUGUUCUUGCAGCUCUACAUGAUCCACUCAAGUUUAGCAAGUAGGAUAUCAUCAGAAAGAUACAUCUUCUUGCUCUUCUUUCUUGGUUUAUGAUGUCGGGGUUCUUCGCGCACUCUGCAACCGCAACCAGGAGUGGCACAACCGAAGUAUCAGCUACAUUCACUUGAAUGGCCAAGCGAAACCCUCAGCAAGCUGGAGCUCGUUGCACUAGCCCUCCUGGAGUUAGAAGAAAAACCCAGCCCGAAGGCUCAAGAGCUGAUGAUCUAAGUUCUCAACAGUUUGGCUGCCUCGUGUGGCAGUAUCAACAAUUACUCCAAUCAAGAAGGCAAUUCCCCAUCAACAUUGACGAUGAUCAAAAGAUCGGGGAGCAACUGUAUGAACUACAACGGCAAGCAGCAGCAGAAGCACACAGAGCACUUCAGCAGCUUCAGCUGCUACACUCCAUGAAGAGACAAGAGUGCCAACGAAGAAGUACAUUUGACAACUGGUGGGGUGAUUGGUAUCCAGCCACCAAGCAAGUGGACGAACAGCUGGAUACAGCGGUGCGGCUAGUGCAAGACGUGACCAGAAGGAUGGAGUUCUUCCACCUGUAAAGACCUUGCGGAAGUGGUGAACCCGCAAAGAAUCUUGUACCAAACCCACUAGUUUAUAUUUCCUAUCUAGUACAGCAAUAAUGGAUUGCAAGCUGUAAAGCAUACCAAAUGACUCAAAAGAAGAUGCUUUCUUAUCUCAAGGCAUUAGGAGCACAUGAUGAUGGAGCCCAAUGAGCACCCAGCGUCUCCACUGACCUUCUAUAUAAGAAAGACCUUCUUUCCUUUAGCAGAGCAUUCAAGCCAUACUUGAGCUCUACUUGGAAAGUUUUCUGUACUGAAGUAGUCUUGCAACUUAAUAGAAUCUGUGAGUUCUCAUCCUUUCUCCUUAUUUCUAUUAGCUUGCAUCUUCAUAUAUCCCUAUACACUACUUCGCUUUUUAGCUCACUCAAGGCCCUAAACCAACCUGUGGCCACGCUUGCUGUGGAGAAAAUUGCUGCAAACAAGUCCCUCCUCCAGCAGCGAAGCCAUCUCCCUGAUAAAAAAUUCACAAUGUUCAGAUACACAAUCUAAGAUAAUAUAACUAGAAGGCGACAACCAAGUGAAGAAUAUAGUUUUCUUCUGUUUAUUCUAUCAAAAAGGUAGUCAGGUUAGUAAUCUCACUGUGAAUGUCAUGGCAACAGUUGAAGACCCUUUCUUCAGUGUACUAAAAUGUAUGUUGCAAAGGAAUAAAAAUGUUUGCUUGUUGUAACA